This 492-nucleotide ribosomal RNA is filed under the name uncultured bacterium. Its description in RNAcentral is "partial 16S ribosomal RNA". It matches the Rfam family "Bacterial small subunit ribosomal RNA", at positions 29 to 507 of the family's 1533-position model. The record is from RNAcentral.
AGUGAACGCUGGCGGUAGGCCUAACACAUGCAAGUCGAACGGCAGCACAGUAAGAGCUUGCUCUUACGGGUGGCGAGUGGCGGACGGGUGAGGAAUACAUCGGAAUCUACUUUUUCGUGGGGGAUAACGUAGGGAAACUUACGCUAAUACCGCAUACGACCUACGGGUGAAAGCAGGGGAUCUUCGGACCUUGCGCGAUUGAAUGAGCCGAUGUCGGAUUAGCUAGUUGGCGGGGUAAAGGCCCACCAAGGCGACGAUCCGUAGCUGGUCUGAGAGGAUGAUCGGCGACAUUGGAAGUGAGACAGGGUCCAGACUCCUACGGGAGGCAGCAGUGGGGAAUAUUGGACAAUGGGCGGAAGCCUGAUCCAGCCAUACCGCGUGGGUGAAGAAGGCCUUCGGGUUGUAAAGCCCUUUUGUUGGGAAAGAAAAGCAGCAGGUUAAUACCACGCUGUUCUGACGGUACCCAAAGAAUAAGCACCGGCUAACUUCGUG